CUCAUUCCCACACUUCCUUGACAUCUUUGCUCAAAUGUCACCGUAUUUAAAAUUGUAUCUGCUCUGGCUCCCAGCUCUCCUGGUUCCCCUUAGCCUGCUCUCUUUUUCCCACUGCAUCACCACUAACCUACCAGGAACUCCAGUGACAGGUAGAGGGCCACAACAUAUGAUGAUAAGGACAAUCAUCUGAAGCCUUGGAUGACUGCCCUACUUUGGAGGAAGCCUGCUUUGGAGUAUUGCAAUGAAUGAAUGAAUGAGCAACCCACCCUGCUUUGCAGGAAACAUCGCAAUGGGACACACUCUGCAGCCAGACCCAAGGCCACGGCCAGAAACAAGAAAGGGUACACAAUUUGUGGAGUGUGGCUGUGAGCGGAGGUGAGCUGCAGCAAGAAUGGUAACGAACCAGGAGACAAAAGACCCGGAUUUUGCUUGUUACUCAGCAGUCCCCGCAUCGGCUAAAUGCAACUGCAAAGCAAGAUCAUUCAAAGACUAUUAAGAACUUGAGAGCUGAAAUCUCAAAAAAUAGAGGAAUCAAAAUUACCAGUGUGGGAAAAAUCAAAAUUUUGUUAGACCUCUUCAUGCUUAUUUUAUGAUUUUGCAUUGCAUUUGUGUUUAUUUGUGCACUGGGGAGUUGAGUGUUAGUAGUUGGCAUGCAAACUUUUUGAUGCCUAGGACUUCUAAAGGUCGGUCUCACCUGGACUUUAUCCUAGAAACUUCCAUCUUCCAUCUAAUUCUUGGCAAGUCUGAGGCCCAGUUUUCUUCUUUGAUGUUGGACAAGGUUUGAUGGAGUGAGGGGUAUGACAUGGGGAUCAGAUGAGGUUUAAACUUAAAAAAUCUGGGAUCUCAACUAAUUUUGACUCUUACAUGCUUCCUCCAAGAAAGAGAGAUUGCUGAUAUACACAAUAUAUGGAUUGGUUAAAAGAAGAGCCAUAUUUCAGAAGACUAGCCUGAUUGAAAAAGUCUUCUGAAAUCAGAAAACCAUUUUAACUGCAGGCAGAGGAGGCUUUGUUGGCACUUGGAGUCUACAAAGUGUGAAAAGAGAAUAGGUGGGUUUAACCUUAGGAACUAUUCCCAGAGAUCUCUUAAUACUUCUUGUUAGAGAUGUGGGAAGGAUUGUUUUAAGUAUUUCCAGUGAGAACGUCAUUGCAAUUUCAGGUCUGGAAAACAAAGGAAUACUUGAAAAAAAAUGCAGAUCCACAAUUGAUUUUUGCAAGCUUUGGUGUUCUCAUACCUGGAGGCAAGACCUAUAGGAAAUGGAUCUUCCAGUGCUUCAUGCACCAUGUAGGAGAGCCAGGCCUCUGUUUCAUAUUAGAUCACUGAUGCAGAACCAUGAUGUAGAGGUGUGUUCUCCUUCUCAUUGGGCUUUCUUUUGUGUAUUUUAUGUAAAGACUCUGUUAAGACCUCGACUCCUUAAAAUAGGAUUUCCAGUAUCUUCCACCCAAGAGAAAGAAAUUUAUGCCAAUCCUUUUCUGCCUGGCUAGUUAACCCUGGGUAAAAUCACUCCACCUAUACACACUUGUGAAACUAGCCAAGGGGUCCCCGCAGCAGUC
Molecule: long non-coding RNA, 1550 nt
Filed under: Homo sapiens (human)
Lineage: Eukaryota; Metazoa; Chordata; Mammalia; Primates; Hominidae
Description: HSALNT0023844
Source: RNAcentral